RNAcentral lists this ribosomal RNA (494 nucleotides) under uncultured bacterium. Its description in RNAcentral is "partial 16S ribosomal RNA". It matches the Rfam family "Bacterial small subunit ribosomal RNA", at positions 28 to 506 of the family's 1533-position model. The record is from RNAcentral.
GAUGAACGCUGGCGGCGUGCCUAAUACAUGCAAGUAGAACGCUGAAGGAGGAGCUUGCUCUUCUGGAUGAGUUGCGAACGGGUGAGUAACGCGUAGGUAACCUGCCUGGUAGCGGGGGAUAACUAUUGGAAACGAUAGCUAAUACCGCAUGACAACAGUUAUUGCAUGAUAACUGUUUAAAAGGGGCAACUGCUCCACUACCAGAUGGACCUGCGUUGUAUUAGCUAGUUGGUGAGGUAACGGCUCACCAAGGCGACGAUACAUAGCCGACCUGAGAGGGGGACCGGCCACACUGGGACUGAGACACGGCCCAGACUCCUCCGGGGGGCCGCAGUAGGGAAUCUUCGGCAAUGGACGGAAUCCUGACCGGACAACGCCGCGUGAGUGAAGAAGGUUUUCGGAUCUUAAAGCUCUUUUUUAAGAGAAAAACGGGUGUGGGAGGGGAAAGUUCACCCUGUGACGGUAUUUUACCAGAAAGGGCCGGCUAACUACGU